AAGCAGGGGAUCGUAAGACCUUGCGCUUUUGGAGUGGCCGAUGCCUGAUUAGCUAGUUGGUGGGGUAAGGGCCUACCAAGGCGACGAUCAGUAGUUGGUCUGAGAGGACGACCAGCCACACUGGGACUGAGACACGGCCCAGACUCCUACGGGAGGCAGCAGUGGGGAAUUUUGGACAAUGGGCGAAAGCCUGAUCCAGCAAUGCCGCGUGAGUGAAGAAGGCCUUCGGGUUGUAAAGCUCUUUCAGUCGAGAAGAAAAGGUUGCGACUAAUAAUCGCAACUUAUGACGGUAUCGACAGAAGAAGCACCGGCUAACUACGUGCCAGCAGCCGCGGUAAUACGUAGGGUGCGAGCGUUAAUCGGAAUUACUGGGCGUAAAGGGUGCGCAGGCGGCUCUGUAAGUCAGAUGUGAAAUCCCCGGGCUUAACCUGGGAAUUGCGUUUGAAACUACAAGGCUUAG
Molecule: ribosomal RNA, 460 nt
Filed under: uncultured ammonia-oxidizing beta proteobacterium
Lineage: Bacteria; Pseudomonadati; Pseudomonadota; Betaproteobacteria
Description: bacterial SSU rRNA
Rfam family: Bacterial small subunit ribosomal RNA
Source: RNAcentral